RNAcentral lists this ribosomal RNA (264 nucleotides) under uncultured bacterium. RNAcentral describes it as "partial 16S ribosomal RNA". It matches the Rfam family "Bacterial small subunit ribosomal RNA", at positions 793 to 1055 of the family's 1533-position model. The record is from RNAcentral.
GUCCACGCCCUAAACGAUGUCUACUAGUUGUCGGGUUUUAAUUAACUUGGUAACGCAGCUAACGCGUGAAGUAGACCGCCUGGGGAGUACGGUCGCAAGAUUAAAACUCAAAGGAAUUGACGGGGACCCGCACAAGCGGUGGAUGAUGUGGAUUAAUUCGAUGCAACGCGAAAAACCUUACCUACCCUUGACAUGGACGGAAGCCCGGAGAGAUUUGGGUGUGCUCGAAAGAGAGCCGUCACACAGGUGCUGCAUGGCUGUCGU